GACAGCGCGCCUGCGCAGUGCAUCCAGGGGCUCGGCGGCGAUCGGUGCUGAAGUUGGGCGGAUGGCAUAAAAACAGCGGCGAUGGACAUUUCAGCACAGGAUUCCCAUUUACGAUGUCAUUAAAUAAGCAUCGGGAAAACGCUCGUUCAAAUCUACCAUCGUACCACACUGACAGCAUUUAAUAAAGCGAUGCUGUGGAAACGUUUCCCUGCUCGCUGUAUUUCUUCAUCUGCAAUGAACCCUUAGCUGUGCAAUACCAUCAUUUUACUGAAGCUUAGGAGGGUGAGAGCGGAGAGCGCUUGAAUACCCUGUCCAGGGAGGCACAAGGAGAAGAGAUAACUAUUGUUAUUUAUUUUGCCUCUCUCCCAUCCCUUUCUAAAUGUCAGUUGGUCAGAGAUGGUGAAAUUAGCAGUCCAUCUCCCAAGUACCGGCUCUCCCAUCCUCCAUUUCCAACAAGCCAAACAGUCAGUCAACAGUUAGUCAGUCAGACAGAUAGUCAGUCCACCAGCCUCGGUCAUCCUCCCACCUAUUACCUCAGCGCCAUGUCCGCUCUGUGUAACCUGUCUUCAGGAUUCUACUAAUUCUCAUGCCCCGUAGUCUGAGUGGAGUGGAGAUGAGGAAAAGGCAGGCGGGCCACAUCGAGGGCCCCCCGCAGGCCCCCGGUCAGCCCCGACCCAACACCUGCUGCCUAUGCUGGUGUGGCUGCUGCAAGUGCCUCUGGAAUGAGGACCGCAUCGAGAGGAGUGGCCGCGAGACCAAGAUGGACAGCAUCGAAGCCAGCGACGAACAGUAAGGCAACCCCCUCCGUCUCUAGAGGAAUCCUAACCCGGAAACGCGGGCCUUGGAAUUUUUUAUUUUGCGUGCCAACAUCCUCCACAAAGGUGUCCUGUCAACAGGCGGGCACCUGAUGGCGGAGGGCUUGUUGUGUGUGCACACAGUCACCGUCACACACACAAGGUCGUUGUGACCUUUUCUGUGCUUGAGUUAAUUGGCAGUGCGAGGGAACACUUCACUCCUGCUUGUUUGUUUUCGCCCUGUGCUUUCUUAGUGGUGUGUAUUUUCAGUUACCUCUUCCCUCUGUCACCGUUCGCCGCAGACCACAGAUAUGUACAAGCAGUGGUUGUGCAAACAUUGUUCCGGUUGUACGCUACUGAACCUCACAUGACCCACAGUUGACAAUGCAAAACCUCCCAUGUGACGCUUUGUGAAGAGGGUAACACCUUGGUGUACUCUCG
Gadus macrocephalus (Pacific cod) is the source of this 1235-nucleotide long non-coding RNA. RefSeq lists it as uncharacterized. The transcript is spliced from 4 exons. The record is from RefSeq and is a predicted model, not a curated record. Lineage: Eukaryota; Metazoa; Chordata; Actinopteri; Gadiformes; Gadidae.